UGAGGAAUCUUGUGCAAUGGGGGAAACCCUGACGCAGCAACGCCGCGUGAGGGGAGAAGGCCUAACGGUUGUAAACCUCUGUCAUAUGGGAAGAAGGAAUGACAGUACCAUAUGAGGAAGCUCCGGCUAACUACGUGCCAGCAGCCGCGGUAAUACGUAGGGAGCAAGCGUUGUCCGGAAUUACUGGGCGUAAAGGGUGCGCAGGCGGUUUGAUAAGUCAGAUGUGAAAGCCCAUGGCUUAACUGUGGAAGUGCAUUUGAAACUGUCAGACUUGAGUAUCAGAGGGGAAAGUGGAAUUCCCGGUGUAGAGGUGAAAUUCGUAGAUAUCGGGAGAAACACCAGUGGCGAAGGCGGUUUCCUGGUCUGAUACUGACGCUGAGGCGCGAAAGUGUGGGGAGCAAACA
Molecule: ribosomal RNA, 404 nt
Filed under: uncultured prokaryote
Description: bacterial SSU rRNA
Rfam family: Bacterial small subunit ribosomal RNA
Source: RNAcentral